AGGGUUGUGGCUCAGUGGUAGAGCACUUGCCCAGCAUGUGUGAGGCCCUGAGUUCAAUUCUCAGCACCACAU
RNAcentral lists this transfer RNA (72 nucleotides) under Urocitellus parryii (Arctic ground squirrel). RNAcentral describes it as "Spermophilus parryii (Arctic ground squirrel) tRNA". It matches the Rfam family "tRNA". From Rfam's summary of the family: Transfer RNA (tRNA) molecules are approximately 80 nucleotides in length. RNAcentral also lists the same sequence under 2 other names. Lineage: Eukaryota; Metazoa; Chordata; Mammalia; Rodentia; Sciuridae. The record is from Rfam by way of RNAcentral.